AUCGCAUUAUCAUCACUGAAAUUCUUAAAUCUUACUUAUUCUUCUUCGUUUACGGUAACUGGUCGGAAAUCGCUCUACCGUGCCAAAGGAGGCAGAGCUCCCUCAACCACUCAAUAUUUCUACAUCCUCCUCUCUGUCUCCUUCACCUCAUCCCAUAUUCGACCUUUGUUUUCAUAUAUUCUCCAACAAAAUCCCUAAAUCUAUAUUUUCAGAAAAACCCAAAGUUGAAGAAAAAGUGGAAUUAA
Non-coding RNA from Vicia faba (fava bean), 245 nucleotides. Lineage: Eukaryota; Viridiplantae; Streptophyta; Magnoliopsida; Fabales; Fabaceae. The record is from the annotation of a GenBank genome assembly.